CGCCUUAAAAGCUAAAAGACAAGCAUUAA
Molecule: transfer RNA, 29 nt
Filed under: Nepanthia belcheri
Lineage: Eukaryota; Metazoa; Echinodermata; Asteroidea; Valvatida; Asterinidae
Description: partial tRNA-Thr
Source: RNAcentral